This 426-nucleotide ribosomal RNA is filed under the name sponge bacterium IS8. RNAcentral describes it as "bacterial SSU rRNA". It matches the Rfam family "Bacterial small subunit ribosomal RNA", at positions 49 to 462 of the family's 1533-position model. The record is from RNAcentral.
CUACACAUGCAGUCGAGCGGAAACGAGUUAUCUGAACCUUCGGGGGACGAUAACGGCGUCGAGCGGCGGACGGGUGAGUAAUGCCUAGGAAAUUGCCCUGAUGUGGGGGAUAACCAUUGGAAACGAUGGCUAAUACCGCAUAAUGCCUACGGGCCAAAGAGGGGGACCUUCGGGCCUCUCGCGUCAGGAUAUGCCUAGGUGGGAUUAGCUAGUUGGUGAGGUAAUGGCUCACCAAGGCGACGAUCCCUAGCUGGUCUGAGAGGAUGAUCAGCCACACUGGAACUGAGACACGGUCCAGACUCCUACGGGAGGCAGCAGUGGGGAAUAUUGCACAAUGGGCGCAAGCCUGAUGCAGCCAUGCCGCGUGUGUGAGGAAGGCCUUCGGGUUGUAAAGCACUUUCAGUCGUGAGGAAGGUGGUGUAGUUA